CAAUAGCGUAUAUUAAAGUUGUUGCGGUUAAAAAGCUCGUAGUUGGAUUUCUGCUGAGGAUGACCGGUCCGCCCUCCGGGUGAGUAUCUGGCUCAGCCUUGGCAUCUUCCUGAAGAACGUAACUGCACUUGACUGUGUGGUGCGGUAUUUAGGACAUUUACUUUGAGGAAAUUAGAGUGUUUCAAGCAAGCGCACGCCUUGAAUACAUUAGCAUGGAAUAAUAAGAUAGGACCUCGGUUCUAUUUUGUUGGUUUCUAGAGCUGAGGUAAUGAUUGAUAGGGAUAGUUGGGGGCAUUCGUAUUUAACUGUCAGAGGUGAAAUUCUUGGAUUUGUUAAAGACGGACUACUGCGAAGGCAUUUGCCAAGGAUGUUUUCAUUGA
This 380-nucleotide ribosomal RNA is filed under the name uncultured eukaryote. RNAcentral's name for it is "partial 18S ribosomal RNA". It matches the Rfam family "Eukaryotic small subunit ribosomal RNA", at positions 592 to 976 of the family's 1831-position model. The record is from RNAcentral.